GGCUGUGUGGUGUAAUGGAUAAGGUAUCUGAUUCCAGAUGUAGAGGAUUGAGGGUUCAAGUCCCUUCAUGGCUG
This is a transfer RNA of Loxodonta africana (African savanna elephant), 74 nucleotides long. It matches the Rfam family "tRNA". Rfam says of the family: Transfer RNA (tRNA) molecules are approximately 80 nucleotides in length. Their secondary structure includes four short double-helical elements and three loops (D, anti-codon, and T loops). NCBI's taxonomy places the organism in Eukaryota, Metazoa, Chordata, Mammalia, Proboscidea, Elephantidae. The record is from Rfam.